RNAcentral lists this ribosomal RNA (405 nucleotides) under uncultured Pseudomonadota bacterium. Its description in RNAcentral is "bacterial SSU rRNA". It matches the Rfam family "Bacterial small subunit ribosomal RNA", at positions 657 to 1060 of the family's 1533-position model. The record is from RNAcentral. Lineage: Bacteria; Pseudomonadati; Pseudomonadota.
GCAGGUCGACGAUUCGCGUGUAGCAGUGAGAUGCGUAGAGAUCGGGAGGAAUACCAGUGGCGAAGGCGGCCUUCUGGACUGACACUGACACUGAGGUGCGAAAGCGUGGGUAGCAAACAGGAUUAGAUACCCUGGUAGUCCACGCCGUAAACGAUGUCGACCAGCCGUUGGGUGCCUAGCGCACUUUGUGGCGAAGUUAACGCGAUAAGUCGACCGCCUGGGGAGUACGGCCGCAAGGUUAAAACUCAAAUGAAUUGACGGGGGCCCGCACAAGCGGUGGAGCAUGUGGUUUAAUUCGAUGCAACGCGAAGAACCUUACCUACUCUUGACAUCCUGCGAACUUGGUAGAGAUACCUUGGUGCCUUCGGGAGCGCAGAGACAGGUGCUGCAUGGCUGUCGUCAGCU